UUGCUUCAGCAGCACAUAUACUAAGAUUGGCACCAUACCGAGAAGAUUAGCAUGGCCCUUGCAUAAGAAUGACAUGCAAAUUCAUGAAGAAUUCUUUACUGCA
Molecule: small nuclear RNA, 103 nt
Filed under: Phascolarctos cinereus (koala)
Lineage: Eukaryota; Metazoa; Chordata; Mammalia; Diprotodontia; Phascolarctidae
Source: RNAcentral